RNAcentral lists this transfer RNA (67 nucleotides) under Trichonephila clavata. RNAcentral describes it as "tRNA-Arg". It matches the Rfam family "tRNA". Rfam says of the family: Transfer RNA (tRNA) molecules are approximately 80 nucleotides in length. Their secondary structure includes four short double-helical elements and three loops (D, anti-codon, and T loops). Lineage: Eukaryota; Metazoa; Arthropoda; Arachnida; Araneae; Nephilidae. The record is from RNAcentral.
GCAGCGCAUUGGAUAGCGCGUUGGACUUCUAUUCCAAAGGUCGUGGGUCAAAAUCCCACCUGAAACG